Molecule: non-coding RNA, 4071 nt
Organism: Oryctolagus cuniculus (rabbit)
Lineage: Eukaryota; Metazoa; Chordata; Mammalia; Lagomorpha; Leporidae
Source: RefSeq, a predicted model, not a curated record
UCUAGGUCUGCUCUGGACUGGAUCAACAUUUGGAUCAGCCCAGAUUCAAAACUAAAUCUCCUAGGGUUGGCCUGAAGCCACAGUAAGAGGAUUGCAGUAGGAUUCUUUGCAGUUGAAGCACUGAAGUGACAGCUGUUCAUCAUUAUCCUCAUCAAGGGAAUGUAAAAUAAAAAUAGUAAUUUGUCUCUGAUCUUUGAGGCAAAAAAGAAUGGUCUGCAAACAUUUAACCUUUUAUGUGCAGUUCACUGAUGCUGUUUACAGAACGGUAAGAUCUGCAUCCAGUGCUGCAUUUCUGAUGAUAUGAAGAUCCUGAGGAUUCUGACUGGGAAGAGCUACAAAUUUGAGGGAAAUCUUCACUCCAGGCAUACGUGGAUUAACAAUAAAGUAAUCUCCAGAAUCGAACUUUGAAUGUUUACAUUAUUGUCAUUCUUCUUUACUUCCUCCCUUUCAACUGUUCCUACCUUUUUAUCCUCUGUGUAUCUUUUACUCUCAUUUCUUCUCUAAGUAACAUCAUAAUACAUAUUACAAAACUAAGAAUAAUGUGAAAUUAAACCACUAUUAAAGAAAACUUGGGAUAUUAAAGAUGUUUACUUGAUUAAACAAAAAACUCAACAAAAAUCCUUAUUUGUUUAUUUGAGAGGCAGAAAGACAGAGAGAGACAAAGGCAAACAGAAAGACAGAUCUCAAGCCUGCAAGUUUAUUCCCGAAAUGCAGGCAAGAGCUGGGCUGGACCAGGCUGAAGCUGGGAGCCAGGAACUCAAAGUCAGGUCUCCCAUGUGUGGGUGGCAGGAACCCAGUCACUUCAGCCAAUACAGCUGCCUCCCAGGGUUUGCAUUGGCGGGAAGCUAGAGUUAGGAGCAAGGGCCAGAUAUAAAACCUAGGUACUCUGAUAUGGGAUGCUGGCAUCCUAACUAACAUUUUAACUAUCAGGCUCUGAUGUGCCUCUAUAUCUUUUUUUUUAAAUUGCUUCUCAGCCCCCAAACGUCUGCCAGAUGAGAUCCCAGUGGAAAGAACGGGUCAUCAAAGAAGGAGGUACCUUUCUCUGAAGGGAGGAGAGAACUUCCACUUUGACCAUGGCCUUGUCUAAAUAUGAUCAGAGUCAGUGAACUCAGGGGGCUUCCAUAGCCUUGGCAGCUCAUGACAAGAGCCUAGGGUGAUUACUGAUGCCAUAAACAAGAGUGUCAAUUUGUUAAGUCAACAACAGGAGUCACUGUGCACUUACUCCUCAUGUAGGAUCUUUGUCCUUAGUGUGCUGUACACUGAGAUUUAAUGCUAUAACUAGUACUCAAACAGUAUUUUUCACUUUAUGUUUCUGUGUGGGAGCAAACUGUUGAAAUCUUUACUUAAUAUAUGCUAAACUGAUCUUCUGUAUAUAAAGAGAAUCGAAAAUGAAUCUUGAUGUGAAUGGAAGGGGAGAGGGAGUGGGAAAGGGGAGGGUUGCAGGUGGGAGAGACGUUGUGGUGGGGGAAGCCAUUGUAAUCCAUAAGCUGUAAUUUGGAAAUUUAUAUUCAUUAAAUAAAAGUUAAAAAAAUAAAAAUAAAAAAAAGAAAUCCCCAAUAAAUAAGCUGGCUGAGACAACCACGAAUAACUAAAAUUUGGAGGAAUAGGGGGCAGGAGAUUAGCCUCGUACAACUAAUAGUCAUUGAAUUGAAGAUGCAUAAAACAACCACUUUGGCUGCAACUGAGAAAAAAUGUAGAUAUGGGGAUUCUCAGGGAAAUCUGAAAAUUCAUAUUCCCCAUCCUGCUGCCCUCCUAAAAAUAGCCAUUCUAACCUAAUUUUUAAUCUACCUAAAGACCUCUAUUGCUUUAUAUAACAAAGGAAUUCAGAAACCUAAAAAUUGAUGUAGCAAGUAUUGUACACACAGUAAAAAAUGUUGUUAUUUAAAUACUCUCACUGCUGAUUCUUGUUAAAAUUGUGAAUAUUUAUUUUGGGUAGAUCUCUUUAUUUAUAUACUGAGUUUGCUUCCCAUAAAAUAAUAACUUUCCACACAAAGGAUAAAUGGUUGAAGCAGGAUAAUUUAAGUACUUUCUUUUUCAAAAACAACCAUUGCCUUCAUCACCACUUUUUGUUAUAGAUAUUAUUAGCAUUUUGGAAAGAACUAAGAUUAUUUUUCAAGGAUUAACUAUUGGGAGAAAUAUCCUCAUUUGUUUACAAUGUAACUUUCUUACAAGAAAAUCCUUUACCUAAAAUGAAGUGAAAUUAGAGUCAAUGGCUACAAGUUUCCUUAAGUUUAGUUUUUAGUGAAAACAAAACAAAACAAAACAACAGAAAAUUUAUCUGGAAUAACGAAAUGGGAAAUGGAAUAUGUGCAAAGAGAAAAAUCACUAGGGAAUGAGGAUAAAAUAAGGGUGCGUUAUAAAAUAGUCUGUGUUGGCUAAUUUUGUGUGUGAAUUUGGCUGGGCCCUGGGUGCCCAGAUACUUGGUAAGAUAGUGUUGAAGGUUUCUGUGAGGGUAUUUUUGGAUGAGAGUAACUUUUAAAUUGUGGGCUCUGAAUAAAGCAGAUUGCUUUCCAUAAAUACUAAAAUGACCUCCUCUACUCAUUUGAAGGCACGGCUGUUUCAUGAAGACUGGUCUCCCCUAAACAGGAAGGAAUCCCCCAGCAGGCAGUUCUCAGUCUCCAUCUGCAAUGUAACCUCUUCCUUUCCUGGUCUACAACAGACAGGACAUAACCUGGAACAUCGGCUCUCCUGGGUCUGCAGCCUCCUGCCCAUACUGCAGAUUUUCUCCGUAAUCAUGUGAGCCGAUUCCUUGUAAGCACUCUUUUUCCGCAUAUAAGCAUAUCCCAUUGGUCUGCUUCUCUGGAGAGUCCUCAGUAAGGCACAGUUCCAUUGUAGAUUACAGAGAAGUAUGCAGCUUAAUGAUAGUAUAUUGUUGUCUUAGUUCUUUUUUUUUUUAAUGCCAUAACAGGAUACCACAGACAAGGUAAUUUAUAUAAAAAUAAAUUUACUUCCCUCCCACCCGCAACCUUCUCACAGUUUUGGAAGCUAGGGAGUCCAAGACCGAAGGGCUGAAUUUUGUGAGGCCUUCUUGCUGUGUCACAACACGCAGAAGGGCAAUCAGCAUGAGAGACAGAAAGAAAAGGCAAGAGAGGGCCAAACAGACAACAGACCUCUCAGGAUGACAAGCCCCUCCAGACCGGAUCACUUUGCAAACACCCCAGCUGUUAAUACUAUUGUGAUGGCAACAAAAUUUGAAUGCAAAGUUUAGAGGGGACACUCAAACCAUAGCAGUUGAGUAAACAGGAGCUACUUGAAUUCGGAAAAGGAGAAUAUCAGGGAGGUCUGUGAUACAGCGUUGGGAUAAGAGUUGUGCUCUACUGAUUCACCUUUACUUCACAGCAUUCUCUAAGGGAGACAGAGGUGAGGCAACAAGCUCUUGUUAUUCUGCUUUUGUGGUAGAUCCAAUGUUAAUCUGGGAAGCUUCCUCUCUCUCACUUUCAGACCUGGUGGUGAGAUGGGACUGCUUGUCCUGGGGCUGAGCCAUUCUAUUCUCUAAUCCAGUCUGGCCACUGGGAUGACAGAGGUGGCAUGUGGUCCAGCAAAAUCCCACCACAUUUGAAAACUUGUUAAGCAAGAAAGCCUGGGAGCAAGCCUGCCUCAGCAUGUAGACCUGUUGAAUCCAGCAAUUGGAAACCAUUAUGCUUAGUGAAAUGUCAGUCCCCAAAAGACAAAUAUCAUAUGUUUUCCUUGGUUUGUGGUAGUUAAUAUACAGAGCUCAGAAAAGGUAAUGUAUAUAAGCAAAAUUGACAUUCUGAGAUUUGAUUGUUUUUAAGCCCUUGUCUAUACUCUUGAAGAACAGUGGCUUUUCUACUUACUACUUGUUGAAUUCUUAAUUUGGUGGAGGGUUAAGCUUGCAAUUAUAAAAUAAACUGAAAGUAUGUCAUUGUAAAAAUUAAAAUAAAAAAGACAAAAGGAAGGAGGAGGGAGGGUGGAAGUGUGGGUGUGAGAGAACAUGGCGUGGGAUGGAUCACUGUGCUCUUAAAUAUGUGUAUAUGACACACAUGAAAUUUGUCUACCUUAUGUAAAUAAAAAACUGAUCUACAAAUAAAGCCGAUCUACAAAUCCUGUGAU